Molecule: long non-coding RNA, 2115 nt
Organism: Juglans microcarpa x Juglans regia
Lineage: Eukaryota; Viridiplantae; Streptophyta; Magnoliopsida; Fagales; Juglandaceae
Exons: 5
Source: RefSeq, a predicted model, not a curated record
AAAAAAUGAGGCCGCAUAGUCAUUUCAAAACCCCCCGCUUGCUGGCUUUACAGUGUUUACACACAAACUCUCUCUUUCUGAAAAUGGCGAAUGAACCACCGUCGUCCUCCUCGUGGCCAUGGUUCCUCCAGGUAGUGCCUCUCAUGGUAGUUGCAUUAAUAGCAGCUCACGUCCUCGCUCUGGUCUACUGGAUUUACAGAUUAGCGACCGAGAAACAGCCUCAAAGGAGGAAAGCACACUAAGGAACGUCUGAUUUGGAUGCAGAAAGAUGAAGAGGGUUGGUCAAACCCUAAUCCGUCGAUUGCUCUGGAAAGAAAUACUAGUAAUGCGUUUAAUUAAUAGAAUUCUCUGGUAAAGUUAUUUUUUCAUUAUGGGUAUUAUAACUGCAUUGCUUGGUGUUUAAAUAGACUUUUAUUACGUGUGAAUCGAUGGUUGAUACGGUUGAAGCAAAGCGAACUGAGACCAAACGGAGUUGUUCUCGGAUCUUGGUUGUUGAAAUUCUUAGAGGACUUGAUUUGUAUUCGUUUUUAUUUUGUUUUUCUGUUGACUAAUGUAGUUUUAGGAAGUAGUCGAUGUAACACUCGCUUGUUUGUCCGUGUUUUAAGUUUCUUUCCUCCUAUACUUGUGUAGGUUCAGUUUGGUUGCUGAGAAAUUAGGGAAUAAGACCGUGCUUUAUCAAUUUCUUUUACAGACUAAUAUUUUUUACAAACUUUUUAGAGUAGUUCCGCUAUAUGCUCCGUUUGGUAGCUGAGAAAAUUGCAACGGGAAAAAAUGUCAUGCAGCAAAUUUGGAUUUUUAUGUAUCGCAUCCUUAGCCCUUAGGUAUUCCAAGCUUACUCGAGGUUUGUUGUAUUAAUAUUCUUGAAUCACUAGGAAAUGAAAUGCACAUUUUAAAAAGUUCGAAGCACGUAGAUUCAGAUCUGUCUUUGGGUACGAGUUAUGGGUUACCCUCUGGGCCGCUAUUCUUUUUCCUUUUUAGUGGAUCUAUUCUACCGUGGGAAGUGAUACAAAUACAAAUGGAUUACAUAAACCCACAAAAUUACAUGGUUUAUUGUGAUCCGUUACAUCUAUUUUAAGGUAAAAGAAAUUUUAUAAUCUAACAUACCACAUCAAGUUACUAUCAUUCUGUGGGUUUAUUUUUAUAUAAUCUGUUUGUGAGUAAAAUAUUUCUCUUUUAUCUUAUAACCAGGCAAAUUACUAAUGAAAGCUUGUCCAUGAUUCCUUUCAUUUUUUUGGUGAAUCUACCUCUAUAUCAUAGGCAGGUGAAUUACUGAAUGGUCUUCAUAUAUUGGCCUAUAUUCAGUUGCUGUUUGGGUUUGGGGCUAAAGAAUGUUGGUGUGCGUUGGUUGAAGGCCCAUGUUUAUUUGAUUUCCUGGGUGAGGUCGGCACUAGGCGGCUUGACACCUACCCAAAGAGACAAGAGUUGGAGAAUAAAGUCAGCCUAUUACAAAAGUCAUAGAGGGCCAAUGACUUAAAGAUGGAAGAAAUGCAUCUCUUGAAUGGUACAGGAACAGCUUCUCUACACCACUGCAGGGCAACAAGCUGCUGGAACAUUUGGUGGCAGAAAGAGAUAUCCAAUCAAAGCACAAGUUUCAACAGUUUGACCAGAGGCAAGGAACAUUUUUGUAGCAUCAACUAUAACAGGUAAAAAGGAAAUACCAGGAUGGAAAGGGGAAAAAAAGAAAUGGAAAUACCUUGAACAACAUAGAUACAAAAACAUGGCAGAGAGGCCUGGCUGCCAAAAAGUUUAGUGGCAACAAGAGAGCUCUAGACAGCACCAAGUGCUGGUCAAAUUCGAUCGAUAAGGUACCUUGCCAGAGAGUUAAUUGGCUUACUAGAGUCAAAAUUUACCAUCCUGCGGCUUUUAAUCUUGAUCCGGGCAAGGUAAUCAGCUGCAAUCCAGGGAAAACUCAACAUCACUACAUUCUCUGGACCAUCUGGCUCUUGCAACUCCAGAGAUUUCUUCACCCAUUUAGGAUGAUGUGGAGGCAUGGUGACAAUGUGCCCAGUCUUGGGAAAAUCAAAAGCUUUAGCUGCUAAAUCAGCAAGCGUUAAGCAGUUCUCAUCCAAAACCCCGUACUCACUGCCGUCAGCAUGAACCACAUGUGCAUUGCAG